GGGGGGCUGGCGCGGCUUACACAUGCAGUCGAGCGGGGGAAGGUAGCUUGCUACUGGACCUAGCGGCGGACGGGUGACCUUUGCUUAGGAAUCUGCCUAUUAGUGGGGGACAACAUCUCGAAAGGGAUGCUAAUACCGCAUACGUCCUACGGGAGAAAGCAGGGGAUCUUCGGACCUUGCGCUAAUAGAUGAGCCUAAGUCGGAUUAGCUAGUUGGUGGGGUAAAGGCCUACCAAGGCGACGAUCUGUAGCGGGUCUGAGAGGAUGAUCCGCCACACUGGGACUGAGACACGGCCCAGACUCCUACGGGAGGCAGCAGUGGGGAAUAUUGGACAAUGGGCGCAAGCCUGAUCCAGCCAUGCCGCGUGUGUGAAGAAGGCCUUAUGGUUGUAAAGCACUUUAAGCGAGGAGGAGGCUACUUUAGAUAAUACCUAGAGAUAGUGGACGUUACUCGCAGAAUAAGCACCGGCUAACUCUGUGCCAGCAGCCGCGGUAAUACAGAGGGUGCAAGCGUUAAUCGGAUUUACUGGGCGUAAAGCGCGCGUAGGCGGCUAAUUAAGUCAAAUGUGAAAUCCCCGAGCUUAACUUGGGAAUUGCAUUCGAUACUGGUUAGCUAGAGUGUGGGAGAGGAUGGUAGAAUUCCAGGUGUAGCGGUGAAAUGCGUAGAGAUCUGGAGGAAUACCGAUGGCGAAGGCAGCCAUCUGGCCUAACACUGACGCUGAGGUGCGAAAGCAUGGGGAGCAAACAGGAUUAGAUACCCUGGUAGUCCAUGCCGUAAACGAUGUCUACUAGCCGUUGGGGCCUUUGAGGCUUUAGUGGCGCAGCUUACGCCAAUAAGUAGACCGCCUGGGGAGUACGGUCGCAAGACUAAAACUCAAAGGGAUUGACG
RNAcentral lists this ribosomal RNA (888 nucleotides) under uncultured bacterium. RNAcentral describes it as "bacterial SSU rRNA". It matches the Rfam family "Bacterial small subunit ribosomal RNA", at positions 30 to 915 of the family's 1533-position model. The record is from RNAcentral.